AGACCGAUAGCGAACAAGUAGAGUGAUCGAAAGAUGAAAAGCACCUUGAAAAGAGGGUUAAAUAGUACGUGAAAUUGUUGAAAGGGAAGCGCUUGUGACCAGACUUGGGCGCGGCGGAUCAUCCGGGGUUCUCUCCGGUGCACUUCGCCGUGUCCAGGCCAGCAUCAGUUCGUCGCGGGGGAAAAAGGCUUCGGGAACGUGGCUCCUCCGGGAGUGUUAUAGCCCGUUGCAUAAUACCCUGCGGUGGACUGAGGACCGCGCAUCUGCAAGGAUGCUGGCGUAAUGGUCACCAGCGACCCGUCUUGAAACACGGACCAAG
This 319-nucleotide ribosomal RNA is filed under the name Hypocreales sp. MSX_70741. RNAcentral's name for it is "eukaryotic LSU rRNA". It matches the Rfam family "Eukaryotic large subunit ribosomal RNA", at positions 331 to 670 of the family's 3401-position model. The record is from RNAcentral. Lineage: Eukaryota; Fungi; Ascomycota; Sordariomycetes; Hypocreales.